RNAcentral lists this transfer RNA (131 nucleotides) under Pyrenophora tritici-repentis Pt-1C-BFP. Its description in RNAcentral is "tRNA-Tyr (GTA) (tRNA-Tyr-GTA-1-1)". Lineage: Eukaryota; Fungi; Ascomycota; Dothideomycetes; Pleosporales; Pleosporaceae. The record is from RNAcentral.
CUCCGCUUGGUGUAGUUGGUGUACGUUCUAUUCCCUCUACCACACUCACAACAACAUCAGUCUAACAUUCAUCUAGUUAUCACGUUCGACUGUAAAUCGAAAGGUCCCUAGUUCGAUUCUGGGAGCGGAGA